UGCAAGUCGAACGAACUCUGGUAUUGAUUGGUGCUUGCAUCAUGAUUUACAUUUGAGUGAGUGGCGAACUGGUGAGUAACACGUGGGAAACCUGCCCAGAAGCGGGGGAUAACACCUGGAAACAGAUGCUAAUACCGCAUAACAACUUGGACCGCAUGGUCCGAGCUUGAAAGAUGGCUUCGGCUAUCACUUUUGGAUGGUCCCGCGGCGUAUUAGCUAGAUGGUGGGGUAACGGCUCACCAUGGCAAUGAUACGUAGCCGACCUGAGAGGGUAAUCGGCCACAUUGGGACUGAGACACGGCCCAAACUCCUACGGGAGGCAGCAGUAGGGAAUCUUCCACAAUGGACGAAAGUCUGAUGGAGCAACGCCGCGUGAGUGAAGAAGGGUUUCGGCUCGUAAAACUCUGUUGUUAAAGAAGAACAUAUCUGAGAGUAACUGUUCAGGUAUUGACGGUAUUUAACCAGAAAGCCACGGCUAACUACGUGCCAGCAGCCGCGGUAAUACGUAGGUGGCAAGCGUUGUCCGGAUUUAUUGGGCGUAAAGCGAGCGCAGGCGGUUUUUUAAGUCUGAUGUGAAAGCCUUCGGCUCAACCGAAGAAGUGCAUCGGAAACUGGGAAACUUGAGUGCAGAAGAGGACAGUGGAACUCCAUGUGUAGCGGUGAAAUGCGUAGAUAUAUGGAAGAACACCAGUGGCGAAGGCGGCUGUCUGGUCUGUAACUGACGCUGAGGCUCGAAAGUAUGGGUAGCAAACAGGAUUAGAUACCCUGGUAGUCCAUACCGUAAACGAUGAAUGCUAAGUGUUGGAGGGUUUCCGCCCUUCAGUGCUGCAGCUAACGCAUUAAGCAUUCCGCCUGGGGAGUACGGCCGCAAGGCUGAAACUCAAAGGAAUUGACGGGGGCCCGCACAAGCGGUGGAGCAUGUGGUUUAAUUCGAAGCUACGCGAAGAACCUUACCAGGUCUUGACAUACUAUGCAAAUCUAAGAGAUUAGACGUUCCCUUCGGGGACAUGGAUACAGGUGGUGCAUGGUUGUCGUCAGCUCGUGUCGUGAGAUGUUGGGUUAAGUCCCGCAACGAGCGCAACCCUUAUUAUCAGUUGCCAGCAUUAAGUUGGGCACUCUGGUGAGACUGCCGGUGACAAACCGGAGGAAGGUGGGGAUGACGUCAAAUCAUCAUGCCCCUUAUGACCUGGGCUACACACGUGCUACAAUGGAUGGUACAACGAGUUGCGAACUCGCGAGAGUAAGCUAAUCUCUUAAAGCCAUUCUCAGUUCGGAUUGUAGGCUGCAACUCGCCUACAUGAAGUCGGAAUCGCUAGUAAUCGCGGAUCAGCAUGCCGCGGUGAAUACGUUCCCGGGCCUUGUACACACCGCCCGUCACACCAUGAGAGUUUGUAACACCCAAAGUCGGUGGGGUAACCUUUUAGGAACC
Molecule: ribosomal RNA, 1429 nt
Filed under: Lactiplantibacillus plantarum
Lineage: Bacteria; Bacillati; Bacillota; Bacilli; Lactobacillales; Lactobacillaceae
Also listed under: 1 other name
Description: bacterial SSU rRNA
Rfam family: Bacterial small subunit ribosomal RNA
Source: RNAcentral